Molecule: ribosomal RNA, 253 nt
Filed under: uncultured bacterium
Lineage: Bacteria
Description: partial 16S ribosomal RNA
Rfam family: Bacterial small subunit ribosomal RNA
Source: RNAcentral
UACGUAGGGGGCGAGCGUUGUCCGGAUUCAUUGGGCGUAAAGCGCGCGUAGGCGGCUCGGAAAGUCGGGCGUGAAAGCCCCGGGCUCAACCUGGGAACCGCGCUUGAGACUGGCAUGCUCGAGUUCGGGAGAGGAUGGUGGAAUUCCCAGUGUAGAGGUGAAAUUCGUAGAUAUUGGGAAGAACACCGAUGGCGAAGGCAGCCAUCUGGACCGACACUGACGCUGAGGCGCGAAAGCGUGGGGAGCAAACAGG